GAUGAAGAACGCAGCGAAAUGCGAUAAGUAAUGCGAAUUGCAGAAUUCAGUGAGUCAUCGAAUCUUUGAACGCACAUUGCGCCCUGUGGUAUUCCGCAGGGCAUGCCUGUUCGAGCGUCAUUUCAACCCUCAAGCUCUGCUUGAUGUUGGGCCCUGCCCGCUGCGGCCGGCCCUAAAGACAGUGGCGGUGCCGCCUGGCCCUGAGCGUAGUACAUCUCUCGCUCCAGUGCCCGGUGGUAGCCUGCCAGAACCCCAACUCUCGUGGUUGACCUCGGAUCAGGUAGGGAUACCCGCUGAACUUAAGCAUAUCAAUAAGCGGAGGA
Molecule: unclassified non-coding RNA, 323 nt
Filed under: soil metagenome
Description: partial contains 5.8S ribosomal RNA, internal transcribed spacer 2, and large subunit ribosomal RNA
Rfam family: 5.8S ribosomal RNA (bases 1-120)
Source: RNAcentral